CCACUCCCAUUUUCAGGUAUUCUUGCUCGAUUUUAGCAGAGCUUGUCUACAUCGCGCAUCAGCCUGCCACAAUGAAUUCGCUUCCAUACAUUACCGAAGCAUGGAUGGCCCAGAUGCCCGGUGAGCAAGCUUCCUUCUUGUCAUUGCUUUUUAGUUUUCUCGCACAAACAUGUGCUUAUAAUUGCCACAAGCUUUCUAAAAUAUUUCUUGGUGAUGUAGCUCAUUCGAUCGUCACGCCACACUUCCACCAGCGUGCACUUGCCCCAUAGAAAAGGCAAGGCAGGUGAACCGCUUGUUCUGCAGGUGAUGGAAGCAAAUUCUUCAUCAACUUCACCUCAAGAAUCAGUGACGCCUCCCAAGAUUAGAAAUGAAAUGACUGGGCUGGAACAAACGUAUCCCGAACCCCAUUAUGGCCAUGGCAGGAGGACCAGGAGGUGGACUGCUUUGCUAGAUGCACCAAAUAUAGCCCUAGGACAGUGGCGAGGGUUCAUGCACAACACUUGCAAAACGCUUGCAUUCUGCAUAUGUAAGUGGGCAAUGCAUGAGCUAGGUGCAGCUAAAAUUCAUGAUAGGGCAAACACCGGCUACUUGAACAGGUUGGUGACCAUCUCCAAAAGGCCAGCAUAGCAAGCAAAUAUGUAUGUAAUAAAAGAUUUUGCCUGUGAGUAUGGGUCCAUCCGGAUCUGUUCAAAACUGCGCAAGGAAAUGUGCAGCACUGUAAACAGAAGCUCGGGCUAUAAUGCAAAUCCCACCAGCACCUGUCUCAUCAUGUUUGCAACAGCUGUGUUCACUAUGGGACUUCCCGUUUGGUUCUCUACUGCGGUUCGCCCUUUGUUUGAGAGUUCCUUGUGCUGAUGUUCCAACUGUUUGGCACAGUUCAAGGCCUGCAAUGCCUUUUAUGUUCUUGCCAGGCUUCCUUCUGGCACUGCAUGGAACAAUACCGCACCAUGUGGCAC
Molecule: long non-coding RNA, 956 nt
Filed under: Coccomyxa subellipsoidea
Lineage: Eukaryota; Viridiplantae; Chlorophyta; Trebouxiophyceae; Coccomyxaceae
Description: long non-coding RNA (CSUB_LNC000244)
Source: RNAcentral